Molecule: ribosomal RNA, 381 nt
Filed under: uncultured eukaryote
Lineage: Eukaryota
Description: partial 18S ribosomal RNA
Rfam family: Eukaryotic small subunit ribosomal RNA
Source: RNAcentral
CAAUAGCGUAUAUUAAAGCUGUUGCGGUUAAAAAGCUCGUAGUUGGAUUUCUGUCAAGGACAACUGGUCCGCCCUCCGGGUGAGCACAUAGUUUGGUCUUGGCAUCUUGCUGGAAGCUGUUGCUGCACUUGGCUGUGUGGCGCAGCGUCCAGCGCUUUCACUUUGAGGAAAUUGGAGUGUUUCAAGCAGGCACAUGCCUUUGGACACAGUAGCAUGGAAUAAUUAGAUUGGGCUUUUGCUCCAAUUUGUCGGUUUCUGGAGCUGAGGUGAGAAUUAAUGGGGAUUGUUGGGGGCAUCCGAAUUUAGCCGUCAGAGGUGAAAUUCUUGGAUCUGCUAAAGACGGACAACUGCGAAAGCGUUUGCCCAGGAUGUUUUCAUUGA